This is a small nucleolar RNA of Suricata suricatta (meerkat), 129 nucleotides long. Lineage: Eukaryota; Metazoa; Chordata; Mammalia; Carnivora; Herpestidae. The record is from Ensembl.
CCUCUCUCUCUCAAAAUAAAUAAAUAAAGUACUGAGGCAGAUGUAAAUGGCUCUGGUUCCCUCGGCGUCAUGUCUUUGGUGUCCGCAGCUUCCGGUCUGCGGGUUCUACCCUCAAGCGCCGGGACAUCG